RNAcentral lists this long non-coding RNA (491 nucleotides) under Monodelphis domestica (gray short-tailed opossum). Its description in RNAcentral is "lncRNA (ENSMODG00000042343.1)". The record is from RNAcentral. Lineage: Eukaryota; Metazoa; Chordata; Mammalia; Didelphimorphia; Didelphidae.
CACUGCCUGCAUACAAAAAUAUCUUCAUCUUCAUUACUUGAAUAUCUCAAUUUACUCUUUGGUUUUUGUGUUUAGGCCAUGAUGACCUUCACAGCCUUUUAAUGGCUGCCCUCUGGCGGUGACUUGUUGACGCUACACAUCUCCUACAAACAGAAUCUCUGCGAAAACAUGACAAUCAGCUUGGCCUGGAUAAGAACCUUCCUAAGAAGAGAUCUACCAUAAUUGAGAAAUUUAAGGUUCUGCUAUAUCCUUUUGGAACCCUGCUGUAUCAGUAUGAACUGAUGACCAAAAGUUCUUGAUCACUUCUCUUGGAAAAAUUCAACCCAAUGUUCUACUCUAUCAAGACAUUUUUGAGACCCUGUCCCAGAUCAGAAGUCCAGUGGCUCCUCAGAACUCAGGAGGGAAAAGGAAGAUCCAAAGAGUUAGAUAAUUUGUCCAACUUCAUCCAGUACCCUAAGUGUCUUCAAUCUUGCCUAGAUGCUGUUAGGUGA